Molecule: long non-coding RNA, 2016 nt
Filed under: Oryzias sinensis (Chinese medaka)
Lineage: Eukaryota; Metazoa; Chordata; Actinopteri; Beloniformes; Adrianichthyidae
Description: lncRNA (ENSOSIG00000011422.1)
Source: RNAcentral
AUGGGAUUGAUAUGUUUUGUUUGCCGUGUUCAUUUUGUAAAUGUCAACAAUCUGGUUAGGCAUAUGCGUUUAAUUCAUGGUUUUUAUAGUGGCAAAGCACUUCGUUUGAAAUGUGCUCAGCCAGGAUGUUGUCAUGUUUUUGGGACUUUCUCUGGUUUUAGAAAGCAUUUGCUUACUAAACAUUGUGGGCAAACUGAGCCUGAAGAGGAAUCGGGUGACACUGUAGACAGUGAUGUUAGAAAUGACUCUCAGUUACCAAUAAAUGAAAAUACGGCCAGUAUUUCUCAAGUUGUGCCUGUAUCUGACAAAAGUAUUCUUGACUUAUGUGCAUCUGCUAUUGCGCAACUUCAGGUUGCUGGUGUAGCCCAGUCUACUUUAAAUGGCUUUGUAUCAUCAAUGGAAGAGGUUGUUAUGGAAAUACAGAGUCAAGCAAAAGCCACAGCUUUGAAAUGUUUAGCACCACAAGACACACAUUUGAAAAUUAAAGUUGAAAAAAGUUUUGAAAAACUUGAAAACCCUUUUACGUCUUUCAAUUCGGAAACAAAACGAAGCAACUAUUUUCAACAGAAAUGGAAAACUGUUGAACCAGUUGAAAAAGUUCUUGGUGUCAGAUUGGAGAACCGAAGAAACAGAUCUAGUGGGACUUACAAACAGGUUGUUGUGACUGAUAAGUUUGCAUAUGUUCCAAUUCUAGAGACACUGCAGUCUAUUAUCAGAAAUCCAAAUUUUGCACAUAUGCUGACAUCUAGCCAUCUUUCCAAGGAUGGGGUAUACUUUGACAUACAGGAUGGGCUCUAUGUGAAGAGCCAUCCGCUUUUUUCAAAAAAAGACUUUGCCUUUCUCAUUCAGUUAUUUUACGAUGAAUUUGAGACUGCUAAUCCACUUGGGUCCAAAAAGGGUAUACAUAAAUUAGGGGGUAUAUAUUUUACAUUGAGAAAUUUUCCACCAAAAUUAAAUUCAUCUUUAGUCAACAUACAUUUGUGUGCACUUUUUCAUGCUCAAGAUAUCAAAACAUAUGGUUUUAACACCAUCCUUGAGCCAAUCAUCAGUGAUCUGAAGGUGCUUGAAACUUGUGGAAUUACAUCUCCCAUGUUUCAAAGUCCUGUUCGUGGUAGCGUUGUCCAAGUCACAGGGGACAAUCUUGGUCUUCAUGGAAUAUUUGGGUUUGUUGAGUCAUUUAGUGCUCAUUACUGCUGUCGUUUUUGUGUAACUGAGAAAAGUGAAUUUCAGUCUGUGUUCUGUGAAAAUGAAAGCGUCAUAUUCCGUACAAAAGACAUGCACGCAGAGCAUUGCUGUACUGUACAGACAAAUCCACAACUACCUCAUUUUUACGGUGUCAAGCGUUCAAGUCUGUUGAAUACUUUGCAGUUUUUUAACACGGCAGAUAAUUUUUCUGUUGAUGUGAUGCAUGACAUUUUGGAGGGAGUUGCACAGUUUGAGGUAAAACUUAUAUUGGAAUAUGUACAGCAAAACUUCCUAACAGCAAAAGAACUGUCUGGUAGAACAGAGUCUUUUAACUAUGGCCACACAGAGCGACGAAAUCGUCCUCCUGCUGUCAAGUUGUUUGAUGGUAGUAAUGACUUGGGCUUGAAUGCAAUACAGUCAUGGUGUUUGCUGCGCAAUAUGCCAUUGAUAUUUGGUGAUUUAGUGCAGAAAGGCAAUGAGUACUGGCAUCUUUUAUUAUUGCUUCUCCAGAUAGUUGGUAUUGUAUUUGCUCCGGUUAUAACAGAUGGUAUGACUAUCUUUUUGAAACACCUAAUCGUGGAGCAUCAUCAGCUUUUUAAACAUCUGUUUCCUUCCCGAAACCUCUUGCCUAAACAUCACUUCAUGAUACACUAUCCACGAUGUAUAAGAAAUAUUGGACCGAUUCUACACAUGUGGUCAAUGCGUUAUGAGGCAAAACACAACUUUUUUAAAACCCAACUGAAAAGUUUCAAAAAUAUCACCAAGACUUUGGCUAAAAAGCACCAAAGAUACAUGGCCUUGCAUUGGGAAGCUUUAAUCAUUUCAGAUUAA